This is a long non-coding RNA of Stylophora pistillata, 930 nucleotides long. NCBI's taxonomy places the organism in Eukaryota, Metazoa, Cnidaria, Anthozoa, Scleractinia, Pocilloporidae. The record is from RefSeq and is a predicted model, not a curated record.
GUGUCCCAGUGAAUUUAUGCGCCAAUAUGCGAUAUAUUUGAGGCCGGAUCGAGCAGUUACGCGAAGGAAAUAACCGUCAUUUCGCUUUGAAGUUGACUUUGAGAAUUUCUGUUAGUGUGAGACCUUUUGUUGAGGUUACUCUACGAUUCGACUCGGAAAAUGGAAAGCUUUCCCCCUCCAGAUAAAAAGAAACGUACAGAAAUCAACAAACAUGCAAAUGCACGGCGAGAUCCAGCGGAACGAAACCCACAUUUCAGUCUCACAAUUGAAGUCAAAAAGGAUCAGCGAAGUCGUUUGGAAGCUAUCAAACAGAGGCUAAGCAACACUAAAUCGGCUCUUGGUAUAGAUAGAAAGUCUUCUACCACGCAAAAUGCUGAUUUAAUGGAAAGACUCCUCUCGUAUUUUGAAAUGAUUUGUUCAUCAACUGUGGAAAGUAGCUCUUCAUCCAUCACCAAGAUUGAUGUACUCGACGGGCCGAGAACUGCUCUCUCUCAAUCCGUUCAGCCAUCAUCUAGUUCUGUUGAAGUGCGUGACCGACGACAAACUAGAAAAAGACAGAUCUAUGUGGAUUCUACAUUGGAUGAUGGAUGCUAUGUGUGCACGAAGUCAUCUUUGCAAGCACUGUGUAAAUACUUCAUCACAAAUCCAUUGUGUGAAUUUUGUGGUGAAGAUUACACAUGGGCUUCAGCUACUUUUUCAAGUCAAGGGCACGUUUGUAAGAUUGAAGUUCCCUGUGUGUAAUGACUCAGUUACUUGGCUCAGUUUUGGAGUUUUGGGACACCCUGCAAAGUACUACGCCAAUGUUAGAUGAGUAUAAUAUGUACAUGACCUACUUUGCAGAAUGGUUCCUGCAUUCACAUGUACUGGACUUACUGAAACUCAGUAUCAUGGUUUUACUGAGGCCACUGGCAUUGGCUGUGUGUUGCACAA